Octopus sinensis (East Asian common octopus) is the source of this 181-nucleotide long non-coding RNA. RefSeq lists it as uncharacterized. The transcript is spliced from 3 exons. The record is from RefSeq and is a predicted model, not a curated record. Lineage: Eukaryota; Metazoa; Mollusca; Cephalopoda; Octopoda; Octopodidae.
UGGACCAAAUGAUGACUGGUGACAAGAAAUGGGUUCUCUAUAAAAAUGUCAAGUGUCAAACACACUGGGUAGGGAAAGGAGUAACAUCGGCACCCUGGGCUGAAAAAGGUCUUCACCCACAUAAGGUGUUGUUAUCUGUUUGGUGAGAUAUGAAGGAUUUAGUCCGCUUUGAACUUUUAAA